UUCAAAUAGGAAUCCAUUUUCUAACUGGCUUUCGUGCUUUGGUGAGUCGUCCGAGAUCCUUUCGGUGACAUAGUACAAAUUAACCCUUUGUUCUUUUUUCUUUUUAGGUAUACCCUCCCCCGGGAAAGAAGAAUAGGACAAAAGAUAUGGAAUGCAAUAGAAAAUAGGAUAAAAGAUAUGGAAUGCAAUAGAAAAAAGGAUCCUAGCUUUCGUCUCUCAGUGUCAGUGUCGACCCAGCAGAGUGCUUUCGCCGUUGGUGUUCUUUCCGAUCUCAAUGGACUACUUAACUGGAGGAUUCACUGCAAAUAUUAGCUUGUCUCAUUAUUGCCGCGACAACGGCCUACUUCUUCACAUUCACCGAGCAAUGCAUGCAGUUAUUGAUAGACAGAAAAAUCAUGGUAUGCAUUUUCGUGUAUUAGCUAAAGUAGGAAGAACAGGUUGUUCCAGCUAGAUACCGUCAAAAAUUCCUGUGGGGGCAUCUUACUUGACCUGAUCCAUGUUGUGUUACGCGGCUCCUAAGAAAAUUCCCGUGACUCUACCUACGUCGGAUCCCGCUUCCGUUUUCCCCAUCUAUUGAUGGGUUGUUAACGAGUGUUUCCCCCAAAUGGUUUCACCGGUAAUAAAAGGUCAGGUAAUAAAAGGUAAAAAAAAACCAAGUUCACCUCACUUUCAAUUUAUUUUUCACUCUGUUUGCAAAACAUGCAAACAGAGAAGUUUCCUUAGUUUAUGAAAAGUAGGUAAAGCGGAACUGUGGAAGUCGGUAAAAACCCUCUCAAAUAGGCUUUUUGGUUCACAUAUCAUAAUCGCAUUUCUUUAUCCUAGUUAUGACUUUGAUAUUUUUCGAGAUUUUAUAGCAUGUUAAUUUAUACUUAUUGCAGAUGGCCUUUCUACGUAAAGGAGAUAUGCAAUAGCCCCUAUGUGAGAUUUUGGUAAUCUUUAUCGAAAUUAAAUCAAUUUCCUUGUAAUUAGUCCAAUAAAGUAUUAUAAAUAUCAGGAUUUAUUUAAAAAAGAACAUAGGAUACCAUGAACCAAUGCUUGAAACUUUGGUCAUAAAACUAACCUAAAAUUUGAGAAUGUCAUGUUCUUUUUUUUUCUGAAACUGAGAAUGUCAAUUCUUAGCGUCAUUACAUUUGAAAAAUCUAAGGUCGGCUUGUCACACGUCAGGCCAACGAAGAGGUUGUUUUCUCCAGCAGCAAUUGGCCCAAGUAACUGCGUACAGGCCCACCAAAUCAACUACAGUUGGGCCGAACCGGUAGCAAAAAUCGAAACGGACAAGUUUCCAAAGAAAAAGGAAAUACAACUAACGCGUACGCGUAUGCGUAUGGGUACAGGCCAUAUACAGCUUUCGAUCCCCCGCGUACGGAAUACGCUCUCGCUCCCCUGUCUUUCUCGCCAGAUCAGAUCGGAAAUUCCAAAGCAAGCUUUUCGUCAGCGAUUCGCCGAGACCCAUCCAACGCCGCCGCCAUGUCCGCCGCCGUCGCCGCCCCCGUCCUGCGCGAGGACGACCGGGGGAUCCCACGAUCCCUCCCCCUCCUCGCGGCGCUCGUAGAGGCGGAGUCCCGCCGUUUCGCCGCCGCCGCCUCCCGUCCCGCCGAGACCGGCCUCGUCCGCGCCUUCCGCAGCGGCGCCGCCCCGAAGGUCCCGAUCCGCAUCUUCAUGGAGCGGAUCCACCUGCUGACCCGGUCGGUGCCGACCUCCCGGGGCAUGACCAGGAUCGACGGCACCAGCUUCGUGCUCGCCGGGAUCUACUUGACUCGCUUCAUCCGCAGCCCCGCCGGCAGGGAGGCGGGGAUCCUGGUGGAGCCAGCCACCGCGCACCGCCUGGUUGCCGUCGCGCUCUUCCUUGGCGCCAAGUUCGGCGGCCACCCGCCCAGGAAGUGGAUUGGGGUGUUCCAGGCCAGCUCGGAAGGCGCGAUCCGUGCCGGCGAGAUGGUGGCCCUCGAGGGCCGCUUCCUGCGUGCAAUCGACUUUCGCCUGUUCGUAGAGACCUGGGAGUUCGAUUCCUUCUGCCUUGUGCUGGAGCGGGGGCCUCGGGCACCAAGGGGCGGCAGCGGUAGCGUUGGCUGCGCCAGCAAGAAGAGGCAGGCGGACGCCACGGUCGGAGAGGAUGAGCGCCGCCGCGUCCGAGCUCGCCUGCCGCCACCUGCCGUCUUGUCCAAUUAGGAUUUGUUUUCAAUUUGAAGUUUCGCCUUCAAUUCGCUUAUUAUUUCUUUUAGUUGCUUUUGAUUGUUCGUCUAUCUAUUUUUGCUGCAGGUACAAGGCUAGGAGUAGAAGUGUUCGAGGUGGAGAAGGCGUUGUCCAGUGUCCGAUCCGGGAUCAGCUUCUCCUUGCUGGAGCCUGGAGGAGAGCCUGGUGUAGGAUGCGUCGUCCCGCUUCGGAUCAUGGAUGACCUCCUGCUCGUCGCCAGAGCCUGGAGGGUAGUCAACAGAACUUAGUUUUAGCCAAGGUUGUUAAAGCGAUUGCUGGCUCACUGAAAGAGUUCUCUAGUACUGGGUUUUCAAGCUUUGGAGUCAAUAAAAAGGGCACAAUAUGGUGUUCUGUACUCUGAAGUUUCAGUGUUUAGUCUAUUUGAGCUACUGCAACUCAGUGAUUGAGUAUACUAUCCUUCAGUAGAUUAGGCAAUGUACUUAUGAUUAGGAUGUGUUUCUUCAGUAGUCGAUUUUGGUGUGGUUCUUCUCUUCUGUGUAAGACUUUCUCAGAUCGGAUAAUAAAGUGUAAGACCUUUGUCAUCUAUUUUUUAUGGGAAAAGUCUCCCAUUCGAAAGGCAAGCUCCAGAGCAUAACCUUUAAUUUCAAAACUAACCUUUAAUAAGUAUUUCAAAACUAUGAAAUGUUUUAUUUGAGUAUUGUGCAUUUACAUUUUUUCAGGAGUUGAAAGAAACCAUAGAUGCAUGAUCCACCGCGCAUGACGCACCGCGCGGUGCCGACCUGGACAGGGGCAAGUGGAGAGCUAGCCAUGGCGUGUGCGGCCCCGUGCGUCCCAGAGGCGAUGGAGGCAUCAGGUGAGACAUGCUGGCUGCGUGUCCUCCUGUGUCUUCAAUGUUGCCACCUUCUCCUCGGCUACCUUCUCCUCGGCUGAGGAGUUGUAGAGACAAUAACGGGAGAGGGAGGCGGCUGGGUGCCGGUGAGGGAUCGUGCGGUGUGGAGGAGGCUGCGCGUGGCAACGCACGUGCGUAAGGUGGCGACGCCCUGAGGAGAUGCUUGAUGAUGCGUGAUGGUGAGGCAGUGCGGCGGUGGCCUCGUGCGAGGAGUGGGGUACGGCGGUGUGGUACAUGGAGGCGCGGCGGACAACGAACGGUGGUGGAGGUAUGGUGGUGUGGUGCGUGGAGGAGCAACGGCGACGUCGCCCCAGAUGGGUUGCCGUGAUUGUGGUCCGGGAGUGCCCAUCCGUGAGCAUGCAGUGAGGGGUUGGGAUGCUCCGGGCGAAAGCCCUCGUCAGCGUUUUGCUGGUCGAGAUGAUGGCGGCGCCAUAAGGGCAUCGUUCUCCCCGUUGGGGGCAUCAUGUUUAAGCUACAACCCGGCUGCACGGGGUCCUCUGGGUGAAAUCCCUGUCCUGAUCCUGGAUGAGCGACGGAGGCGUCAUUGGUGUCGUGCCCUCCUUGGAGGCGUCAUCUCUAGAGACCCAUUUCGGUUUAUGGCAUUGCUGGUCCGUUGGCCAUGGGUGACUGCAGCUGGUAGCGGCAUUUCUGCCGUGUGGCAAGCUGAUUGGGUAUUGCCAAGGUCACGUGAAGGCGAUCACAGUUAUGGUGGCGGCCAGGGGUUGUCGCAGGGGUGCCGAUUUUUGACUGCAUGCAGCGGACCACAACGGCUGGCGUUUCUUGGCAACAGUUAGUAUGGUAUGGGAUGGCGUCAGAGGACGACGCUUGCGGCAAUGGCAUCGACGGACAGCUAGGCUUGCAGCGGAUCGCGGCGUGUUGCUCAACUCAGCUGGGCUACCUGGUGCAGUACAUCGUCGGAAGGCGGCGCAAGCGACUUCUCUGGCUUACUAAAAUGGCAGUGGAGGUUUUUUGCACGGGUGAAACAACGAGGCGAAGUCGACCUGUGGCGGCAGCCAGGCUGAUCGAUGGAGAUCUUGUGGAGCGGGGCAACAAUGCUCACUACUCUGACGGCGACAAAAGAAAUGGAUCCGUGACAAGGAGUAGUGACAAGGAGUACUGUGGCUGGCGUGGUGAGGCCCCCGCGUGCGGUGUUUUUUUUCUUCGAGGCGAUGAGAGCGAGGUGGAGUCCAACGGUGGAUGUGGUGAGAUCCCCGCACGUUGUGUUAUCGCGGUGGCGAUUGUGUGGCAGCCUGCGAGAGGUCUGGAUUCGGUGGUAUCACUCUAUCAGGUGGCGUGUGGUGUUGCAGCGGCACUACAGCGGAGGGUCCCGUAUGGCAGUGGCCUUCUCGGUGCAGUGCAGUUUGCUUUAUCGGUUCCUUGUGGACGCAUGGCCUGGAGGUUUCGGCGAAUACAUAAUUGGGUAUGUUAGUGGGUGUCGUACUAAAGGUUUCGGUUCUGCUGCCGUGGCAAGUGGAGUGGUGAGGCCGGGUUGAUGUCCUAUUCUUACCGGUCAGGCAUGGUGGUUGAGUUGAGUGGCUACCCACGUUGAUGUCCCAAUCCAACCUGGUGAGUCUUCUUUGCUUUUUUCUUUUCUUUUCCUACAUAUGGCCUCCCAGGGCUGUAGUCUUGUAUUUUUCUACUAUAUCAAUGAAACACGCACUAUCUUGUGCCGUUCGUUCAAAAAAAAGUUAGUUUGAUCUCAUUGGACUCGGUCAGGACUGAGUCGGAGUCCCUGAUCGGGGGCACACAACCAACUCAUGGUUGCGGCCCCCCCGUCGCGCAGCGCUAUAAAAAGAGAGAUAGAGGCCGGGGCAUGCACGCCAAAGUUGGACGUGCCCACUAGACCCACGGACACACCUAAAACCUGAUCUAAACCCUAGCGCUGAAGCGGCAGGAAGCACCGCCGCCACCUCAUCGCCGCCGCCGCUACCGUCACCACCAACACCGUCGUCACGACCAUGGCGAGCUCGUCGACCAAGCCCGAUGGUGGUGCCCUCACACUCUAUCUCUCUCUCUCACUCCCUCUCGGAUGUUUCUGUUUAGAUCUAAGGAUCUGUUUUUCACCUAAGAAUGAAGUAGUUAACCCGCUAGUUUUGCACCUAGUGAUCCUAGAAUUUCAUCAAUGCUACCAGAGCCGAACUGUGGUGUAGAUCUAGUUGGGGUCAGAAAAUAAAAGCAAUUAGAAGGAGAUGAUUCAAAAUCAGUACCAAACCCUAACCCUAGACCGGAUCCGCUCUGAGCACAGAGAAAGAAGAAGAGGGUUGAGGGAGAAGAAGAAGAACCCUUACCGGAUCCGCUCCGCACUCCAGGAAGAAGAAGGAAGCCACCGGCGGCGGGGUGCCCAAGGCACGGACGCGAGUCUGCUCGAUGGCGUGCGCUCACCCUAGAGUGAGCACGCGCACCGGCGAGAGGACCGGCAGCAGCGCCAUCAUGCGAGGGCACCCGCCGGUGAGGGGACCGGCGGCGGCGCUGUCACCCGCCACGGGCCCACCGAGGGGAAGCCUCGGGCCGGGGACCGACGCUCCAUUAGCACUGCUCCGCUCAGCGUGGCGCUCGCCGGCGCUCCACCGCUUCGCCGUCCCGGUGCACCCACUCGGCUCUCGCCUCCUCGCUCGAGUGCCGGUGCUAAAAGAGAAGGGGAAGGAGAAAGAAUGUGCUAGGGUUUCAGACGGAGCUAGCCGCGGUGUUUUUGAUAUGGCCGAAAUCGCCGGACAACCGUUGGAUGAGAAUGAACUGCGCAGAUCAAAUGGACUGGAUUUGGCCUAGGUGGGAGGCUGCUUUCCUGACCCAGACCUAGGUUGCGGCGUGGGAGGGUGAGCGCGACGAGCGUGUGAGGCAGACCGGGCCGCUUUCACGCAUGGGAUGAUUGCACAGUGGAGUUCAGGUCCAGGAGGGAAAGGGGCCUAGCAAGGCCGCGGACUUGCGCCUGAGCGUGCUGGGCCGCCUUCCAGACGCGGGUUGAGAUGAGCUGCCACCGUACGAGCUGGGCUCAACCGUUUCCGCGGUCGAGCCAAAAGAACAGUAGAAGUUUGAGCCCGUUUCUUUUUUCAUUUUCCAAUGAUUUUUGAAAUUUUUAGAAAUUGAUUAAUGGCUCAAAUAAAAUUAGUUUUGAGGAGUUUUACCUGUGGGUAAAAUUCACAAAUUAAGUUUAAGCUUCCGCUAUGUUAAGUUUAAGAUAAGUUGAAUUUUUGGCAUUAUUUUACCAACUUAUGCAUUAAGUUGAAGUUUCUUAGUCUAUUUUCUAAUUAAAUUGGAACUAACGGGAAAAUUUAAUUAGAAAAUAAGUAAUUUUUCUGAGUAUGAUAAUUUUAUUUACUAACCAACAUUUUUGAUAAGGUUAUUGUGCUGAUAAGUUUUAUUUAUCAUUAUUGAUUCUAUUUCUGCCCAACGGUGAUAUAGAAUUAAUAUAGAGAAGUUUUAUGUUUUAAUUUGACCAACGUUGAAUUAACUCAAAUUUUUCUAAAUUUUUUGUUUUCAGGCAAUCCUUUGAGUUUUAUCUCGUGCGUAGAGCCUCUCAAUGGAGGGAAUUAUGGCUCAUGGUGAGAGAAGAUUGAGAUAGCGCUUGCGAUGUCAGACAUUGAUCUAGCAUUGACUGAUCCCUGUCCCAUAGCUCCUGAGGACCUCAUGAGGGGUGAAAAUGAGAGCGAAGAAGAUUUUAACGCUAAAGUGUGUGAUCAUGCACCAAUUAGAAUGCAGUACCAUAUUGAUCGUGUGAAGUGGGACCAGUCAACCAGAAAGUGCAUGAUGGUGAUUAAGAGCUCCAUUGUGGAGGCUAUAAGGGGAGGAAUCGUAGAGUGUAUCACCGCCAGGGAGUACCUAAGGAAGGUGGAGAGUCAGUUUACUAGCUCUUCAAAAGGUUAUGCAAGCCCUCUUAUUAAGAUGCAUGUUACUGAGAAGUAUACUGGUGGUGGAAUAAAGGAACACAUAUUGAGAAUGAGCAACAUGGCUUCCAAGCUCAAGCCUAUGGACAUGGAGCUCAAAGAUGAGUUUGUAGUCCAUUUGAUCUUUGCCUCCUACCCAAGGAGUUUGAGGCUUUUGUUGUUAAUUAUAACUCACAGCUAGAUAAGUGGGGCAUUGAGAAGCUGAUUGCCAUAUGUGUGCAACAAGAGGAAAAAAUUAAGGGCUCACGUGGUGAUUCUAUCAACUACGUGAGGAAGAAUAAGAAGAGGAAUUAUCAAAGCAAUAAUUCUAAGAACAAGGAAAACCUUAGUGGGACAAUACCUCUUCUUCUAAGGCACUAAGGCACAUGGAAAGGCUUCACUAAAUGAUCACCAUUAGAGCUCAAACCAUGAAGAGGUGGUGGACAAGGAUACUUGCAAAUGGUGCAAGAAGAAGGGACACUACCAUAAGGAUUGUGUGGAAUUCCUAAGGUUUCUAUGUAAGAAAGGGAUUCUAUAUGAGGAGGACCCUGCAAAGAGGGGAAAGAAGCAUAAAGUAGCAAAUGGCGUCGAAGCUGAAGUCGAAGCUAUUGGAGAACUCCCAUUAGAAUUAGUAGAUGGUUUUGUACUUCAUCUAAGAGAUGUUCUCUAUGUACCCUCUUUGCAUAGAAAUUUAAUAAGUGUAUUGCUCUUAGACAAUGAUGGUUUUGCUUGUCACUUCGGUGAUGGAUAAUAUAAAAUCAAGUUUAAUAAUAAGUGUGUUGUUCUUGCCUUAAGACAAGAUGAACUUUAUUUGCUAUCACUUUGUGAGAAUGUGAAUGUUGUAAGCACUGAUGAAUGCCUCCUUUUUUAUGAAUGUAAGAAAUAAGUGGAAAAGAAUUGAUGAUGUAUCUUCAAAAUUAUGGCACUGUCGUUUAUGCCAUAUUUCAAGGUGGAGAAUUGAACAGUUAAUUAAGAAAUCAAUUCUUCCACCCUUAAAAUUUUCAGAUUUAGAGGAAUGCAUCGAUUGCAUUAAGGGAAAGUUUAUUAAGAAAAUUAAGAAAGAUGCCAAAUGAAGUGCAGAAAUUUUAGAGAUAAUUCACAUAGACAUUUGUGGGCCGUUUCCUGUGACAUCUGUGGAUAGUCAUGAUUCAUUUAUAACAUUCACAUAUGAUUAUUCACGUUAUGGCUAUAUUUAUCCAACUAAGGAACGCUCAGAAGUGUUGGAUAAAUUUAAGAUAUUUAAGGCUGAAGUAGAAAAUCAGCAUAGUUGAAAGAUUAAGAUAGUGAGAUCCAAUCGUGGGGGGGGGGGGAGGGGAGUACUACGGUCGACAUACCUCAUAUGGUCAAGUUCCUGGACAUUUUGCAAGGUUUAUAUAGGAAAAUGACAUAGUUGCCCAGUACUCGACACCGGGUGAGCCUCAACAGAAUGGAGUGGCUGAAAGACGCAACCGUACCUUAAUGGAUAUGGUGAGAAGCAUGAUAAGUUACUCCACUUUACCGAUAAAUUUGUGGAUGGAGGCGUUAAAAAUCACCAUUCACAUUCUUAAUCGGGUUCCUUGUAAGUCAGUGUUUAAAACCUCGUAUGAGUUAUGGAUUGGACGAGAGCCCUCACUAAAUUAUUUGUGUGUGUGGAGCUGUCCGGCUGAGGCUAAAGUAUUUAACCUAGAUAUUGGAAAACUAGAUCCUAAGAUAUUCAGUUGCCAUUUCAUUGGUUAUCGAGAUAAGUCAAAAGAUUAUCGUUUCUAGUGUCCUCACAGACAUACUAAGUUUGUAGAAAUGAGACACGCUGUCUUUUUGGAGGAUGAGAUGAUCAGGGGGAGAAUAGUACCUCGAGAAAUUAGCCUUGAGGAGAAGUGGGUAUACGUACCCACUCCAAUAAUUCAGGAAUAUUUUUUCUCGAUAUCUGUUGCUGCUGCACCGACAGUACAAGACACUGUGGUAACGACACCUAUUAUUAGUUCUCCCGUGGCAACAACAAAUGAGUAUGAGGAACCUGUUUUUUAGGAUCCUAUAGAACCUGUUGUCACACAUGAGAAAGUGCUGCAACACCCCCACAUGGAAGAUGUGCCAAAUGUUGAGGCCCCCAGAAGAUCUCAAAGAGUUAGAAAGGCAACUAUUCCUGAUGACUAUGAAGUCUAUGUCAGUGAAGAAGUUCAAAUGGAGGGAGAUCCCACCUCAUUUGAAGAAGCCAUGAGAAGCGCUCACUCAUCGAAAUGGCUUGAAGCCAUGGAAGAUGAAAUGAGAUUUAUGAGUAGCAAUAAAGUCUGGGAUUUAGAAGAAAUUCCUAAAGGAGCCAAGACAGUAGCUGUAAAUGAGUCUACAGAACUAAAUGUGACUCCAAAGGGAAUGUGGAAAGAUAUAAAGCACGACUUGUAGCAAAAGGCUUCACUCAAAAAGAAGGAAUAGAUUAUAAUGAGAUAUUUUUCCAAGUCUCAUGUAUGGAUUCUUUUAGAAUUAUAAUGGCUUUAGUGGCGUACUAUGACUUAGAAUUACAUCAGAUGGAUGUAAAGAUGGUAUUUGUCAAUGGAGAUUUGGAUGAAAAUGUUUACAUGGCACAACCCAAAGGUUUUGUCAUGAGAGGAAAAGAAAGUAUGGGAUGCCGCCUAAAGAAAUCCAUUUACGGAUUAAAACAAGCCUCAAGACAGUGGUAUUUGAAGUUUGAUGAGACAAUAACAAAGUUUGGGUUUAAUGAGAAUAAGGAGGACAAUUGCGUUUAUGCAAAGUUCAAGAGUGGGAAAUUCCUUUUCCUCAUCCUAUAUGUAGAUGACAUCUUACUUGCUAGUAGUGAUGCUAGUCUGCUAUUGGAGACGAAAAAGUUCUUGUCCUUGAACUUUGAUAUGAAAGAUCUUGGUGAAGCUUCAUUCAUUUUAGGAAUUGAAAUUCACUGAAAUAGAAAAAAAGGGGUUUUAGGAUUAUCUCAAAAGGCAUACUUAGAAAAGAUUCUAAAGAAGUAUAGUUAUGCAUGCGAGUAAACCUACGCCUGCUCCCAUAGUCAAGGGCAAUAGAUUUGGAAAUUUCAGAGUCCUAGGAACUAAUAUGAGAUCGAUCAAAUGAAAGCGGUUCCAUAUGCUUCAACUGUCGGAAUCUUAAUGUAUGCUCAAGUAUGUAGACACCCUGACUUAGCUUUCGUAACCGGGAUACUUAGCAAAUAUCAAGAUAAUCUAGGAAUAGAUCAUUGAAGAAUGGUAAAGAAGGCAUUGCGUUAUACGUAAGGCACGAAAGGUCUCAUGUUAACGUAAAGAAGAACUGAUUUCCUUGAAAUAGAAGGGUACUCAGAUUCAGAUUUUGCGGGAGAUGUAGACGAUAGAAAGUCCACGUCAAGUUAUGUAUUCACUCUCGCAGAUGGAGCUAUAUCGUGGGAAAGCUUCAAGCAAACCGUCAUAGCAUCGUCCACGAUGUAUGCUGAGUUUGUAGCAUGUUAUGAGGCCACGGGGCAGGCAAAAUGGCUAAACAAAUUUGUACCUGGGUUGAGAGUGGUUCAAAGGCCACUUAAGAUGUACUGCGAUAAUGAGCCAGUAGUAUUUUAUGCUCACAACAAUAAGUCAAGUGGUGUUGCCAAACACAUUGACAUCAAGUUUUAUGUUGUGAAAGAGAAAAUUCAGAAUCAUACCAUUAGUUUAGAGCAUAUAAGAACAAAAGAAAUGCUCGUGGAUCCACUCAUGAAAGGCUUACCGCCCAAUGUGUUUAGAGAACAGUUAGCCGGCAUGGGUUUUAGGGAAAGCCUAUGAUCCCUGGGUACUAAGGGCCUAGAAUAAGAAUCUGUUUAAAAAUAGAAAGGUGUGUUGUAGCUGUUGAAUCUAAUAGUAAGUAACCGACUAUUAUGAUGAGGCAUGCUCUAUACACUGAUCUUUGACGAAAUGGGUGCUAAGUUAAGCAUCCCAAGUUUAAGAAUAAGUUUAAGUAUGAGAGGAGAUCAAGGGGGACAAUGUUAGUUUGAUCUCGUCCGGCUCGGUCCAACGACUGAGUCAGAGUCCCUGAUCUCGCUCCCUUAUCGGGGGCGCUCAACCAAUUCAUGGUUGCGAGCCCCCAUCGCGCAGUGCUAUAAAAAGAGAGGUGGGGCCGGGGGCAUGCACGCCAAAGUUGGACGUGCCCACCAGACCCACCGACACACCUAGAAUCUGAUCUAAACCCUAGCGCUGAAGCGGUGGGAAGCACCGCCGCCACCUCGUCGCCGCCGCCGCUGCCGUCGCCGUCAACACCGCGUUACCACCAUGACGAGCUUGUCGACCAAGCCCGAUGGUGGUGCCCUCACACACUCUCUCUCUCUCUCACUCCCUCUCAGAUGUUUCUGUUUAGAUCUAAGGAUCCAUUUUCACCUAAGAAUGAAGUAGUUAACCCGCUAGUUUUGCACCUAGUGAUCCUAGAAUUUCAUCAUUAGUGGUUGAGUUUUUAGUACAUGAUGAAGAUGUGAGGCUGCUGCUACCUAGGGGGCUUCAAGAUAAAGACCCAAGUAAAAAUAAAAUGUCAUUAAUACGGUUAACCAUAUGUCCAUACAUAUAGCUUAGCACUCGAGUCACUUAGCAAUUUACAAAUAUGUGAAAUUAUCCUAGCCUCUUGACCGCCGCCUGACGAACCGCCUGAUGAAUCACUACCACCAUCCGAUCAACCGCUGCAGGUCCCAACUCCUCGCUCCUUGCUUUAUAGUGCACCAGAGAAGCAUGAUCGGAACUUCUGCCAUAAAAGGCAUGCGCUCUUCAUUUAUAUGAGCCACAUGAAUGCACUUGAGUGAUAUAGCACUCGCCUGCAAAUUCUGAUAAGUGCCAUACGCUCCUCUGCUCGAAUAAUGUGAGGGCGCCAUGCCCCGCAUGCGCCAUCAUUUGGCGAACUACUAGGCGGGCUUUAGCAUGACGCUUCAAAGUUUGAUGCCAAAUCGUUUCUUUAAAUGCAGUAAAAAGAGAAAUGUCACAUAAAAAACCAUAAAGCAUUUAACUAAUACCAACCAUCCACACAAAAAACUACAUUUCUCUGAGGAGCUACUCCCGGAGAUUUCAAGGAUGACUGACGCUGUUACGAAAUCACUAGACAAUAGCUCCUCAAAGAAAUAUAGUACAUAUAGAGGCAUAUCACAUUCAUCAAUGCAUCAACAUUCAUCCAUAUUCAUCUAUAUAUGCAUGCACAUUCACUCAUAUUCAUCUAUCAAUGCAUACACACAUUCAUCCAUAUUCAACAAAGCUAGAGAACUCACCUCUGCGAUCGGGACGGCGGUGCCAGUAUGUGAGAAGGCGUCGGUUGGGGAGGAGGCACGGUGCUGGGCGAGCAGGAGGCGUCUGGCGUGGAGGAUGCGCGGCGCCGGGAGGAGGCGGAAGCAGGGAGGAGGUGGUGUUGGUCGGUGAAGGAGGCACCGAGCGAAGUAUGAGGCACGACGGUCGGGUGAGGAGGUGCGCGCCGGGGCGGGCUGGGGCCAUGUUUGUGGAGGCGCGCCCAUCAGGGAUGAGGUGUGGUGGCAAGAGGGGCGGUGGGGGGCGAGCUGUGGCCACGUUGGUGGAUGCUAGGGUAAGGUCCCUUGGGGGAUACAAAUGGAUAACCAAAGACUUGUCGAAUUUGAAUGGGAGGAGCAGCCUAUAACAUGGAGUAAUAUGGAGUAGCAAAAAGGUAACGAGCGCCAAUGAUGAACAAAUUUGUAAUGGCCGUUGUUGGCGCUCAUUACAAAUUUGUAGAUAACGCCCGUUACUAAUAUAUAGUCAUUGGUAACGGGCAUUGUUGUGGCCAUUGGCGGGUCGCGACCUUGACACUUAUUUGUAACGGGCCUUAAUAACGCCCGUUAAGGAGCCACGUUUGCCCAUUACCUAUCCCGCGUUAUCUAAAAUGAGUUUUCACAUAGAGAUUCUAAUAAAAUAGCUGACGGGUUUAUUCAUUUCACUCAUUAAUCAGCAUGGCAAAAAAGUCAGGUAAUUGUUGGUCCUGGAUUUACGCUUGUCGACCAAGUCACAUAAAAGACGUAAUCACCUUCGCCCAUUAGGUCCAAGAUAAUAAUGAAACAUGCUUCUCUGUCGGACACUUUUCUCAACAAAUGUUGUGAUGCUUGUUGUUGACAUUAAGAUAUGUCCUACACCGAAUGUCGUACCCGGGAGGGACCCAGUUAGGGCAUGGUGACCAAUGGAGUGCUCUAGACUCGGCAGGACAGCUAGGGCAUCAUAGAUCGUCAUCGAGACAAAAAAGGAACAACAAUUGAGGUUGGAAAAUUAGGGUAAAGGAUAAAAGGGAAAAAAAUAUGAGUUUGAUAGAUUUGAUCAUGGGUGAUUCAAUCGGCCGUCAACCUUUAUAUUUAUAGGGUGGCUAGUCUUUUCUGCUAGGUCGGUUACAAUAGAUAGGUAACUUAUGCAGGAGAAGGGGCAGCAGGAUGAACCAGCAAUGGCGCGCCAACCCAGGCUGGCCUCCGCGAGCCGCAGGCUACUGGUGAACAUGGCGGUCGCAGUGGUGGUGCUUCUCGGGAUCACCAUCUACAUGUGGCACAUCCUUGAUGUGGGAAGUGAUGGGAAUGGGCUGUUAGGCUGAUAUGGUCAGUGAGGAUGAAUUUAGGUGGGUUUUCUAGGAUUUAUUCCUAGGUUGGGUUGUUGUGGGUACGCAUGCAUGUUCAGUGGUACUACGCAUUUCUUGCGCGGUUGUUGGCGCUUGUUAUUGACACUUUUUUAGUGCCAUUUAAGUCAUGUUUUCAGACUAAUUCUUAUACUAACCCACCACUUGGCAUCUGAAAUAAUCCCAUUAUUGCAUAUGUGUUGUAUUUUGGAGCAUAUUGUGUUUUGAUAGGAAAUACGACAUAAUCAGGGGGUUUGUGUGCAGAGCUUAAUGGAUAAUUGGAUGUGGGUGCUCAAGAGGAACCUACACGUGAAUGGGGAGGACCAGAUAGGCCAGACUAGGACGAUUAGCCUGGUACCCUAUAGGCCGAUCGGCCUGGCCUGUUCUGAGGCCUGGUCGAGCUCCAAUUUUUCAGCGUGAAGUCUACGAUGCAUAUAGGGUUUUUUCAUUGACCAUUCAUCCAGAGUCACCUCCCAUGAAGGAUUAUAAGUACCCCCUGAAGGACUACAAGCAGAGAGAGCUAGAGGAGAGAGGAAACACCAAGCAUAUGCCAUUCCACUGCUGCCACAAGGUCAGGAACAGAGAGAAGAUUGGAUCUACAGGAGGCCACACGAGAUGGAGAUCGGGAGGGGAGGAGAAAACAUCCUAAGCCGAUCGGCUUGGAGAUGCUCAGGCCGAUCGGCCCAGGGCUUUCUCCCCUCAUUCAUCACCCUAUUUGGUCUAGCUGAUCUAUAGGGCAUCCUUUACCUCCUUUUGCGUCAACAUGUGUAAGAUCAUGGGAUGAAGUCUCUAUUUGUCCUCAAGGUUGUAUGGAGAUCUUGAUUUGUGAUUGUUGAACCUAUUGUUGAAGACCUGUUUGUUAUUAUUCAUGUAUUGAUGAUGCUCUUUCAUGUAAUGGCCAGCCAGCGCUACUUUGGAUUGUUUUAUUGCUUACCUAGAACAAUCAUCAUGCCAUGUUUCUAUUGUCCAAUAGUUGAUUAUCCUUGUGUAGUGAUAGUAUGCAAGAGGAAAAGUGUUGGGCAUGGUUCACAUUCACUCAUGAUAACACCUAGAUCUUAUUGGUUCACUCUUGGCGAUUGCAUCACGAGUGAUCCUAGAUCCCUAGGACAAUCGUUCCAUCUACCUUGUUCACACCCUAUACUCUCUAUCUGCUUUGAUCUAGACUUGUUAGCUCUUUUGUUACCUUACUCAUAUUCAAUACACAGGGCUUUCAGUUACAUUAAGCGUGCAAAUCCAUUAUUCUGUGGAUUGAUGAACCUUGGAGGAUUACUCUAAGAAAAAAGAUAUAACUGAUCCGUGCGCUUGUGGUACAUUUAAUGACACGAAUUGGCACGUUAACAGCUGCCAACAGCAAUGAGGGCAGUAGUCUCUCCAAUCUCUAUUAUAGCAUGUGUAUGGAUGCGCACACAUGUGUGUGCGUGUGGAAAAAAUAAAGUACACAAUAGACACUGGAUUGUUAGAGGAAAAAUGUAUUCAGCUGGGAAUUUUAUUAGGGCCUCUAAAUUUGCAAUGCUCUUAAAAACAAAGAUAUAAUACCACAAGCUAAUGUGUUGAAGAAAAAUAUUCUUGAUGUUUGGCUGUGUGCACUGCCACCAGAAUAUUCCGUGCCGCAUGUGCUGCAUGCUCGCACAACCACAGCUGGUCUCACCGCAUGAGCAGAUGUUACCGACCCGGGUUCCAUCCCAUUCCCACACAGAAAUUAUGUUGACAGUCCUUAAAUCCUAACUUUGACCAUCAAAUCCUGCAUCAAAGCUGUCAAGAUUAAUCACCAAACAUCGUGGUAGGGUUUAUUACUUAUUACUUCCACAAGUGUUGGUGAAUAUUUAUUUGCAGGUGAAUAUGCAUGAAGAGAAGGAGAAAACAAAUCUAAAGACUAAAGAAACACACAAACCCGGCCAAUCAGGAGGAAGCACACGGAUCCUAGUUCCCACUUCUAGGGUGCAAACUGACAUCAACCACCCUGUACCCACUUGAGGACCCAUAGAGCAGUGUUCCAGACAAAAGGUGGAGCGAGAGGUAGUGCCCAGGGGUCGACCGAACUCCUGGUUUGGCCAAAUCCCAGUGCCCCCUCUCAUCUCCAGCCACCAUGUCUCGUCUCCUACCGACCUCGCAAUGGUGGUUAGAUAGGAUUCCCCGAAUAUCCAUAGCCAGAACUGCCUUUAAGCACCAAUAUAAGGACAGGGGUAGCCUCACUUACAACACACACACACACAAAAAAGUAGGAGGAACACUUUGAGCUCUACUCCAAGGUGAAGCCCUCGUUAGGCUAUUGCUUAGAAUCACGAGAGAUUGAGGGGUAGUCUGGGAAGUGCCGGGUCUGUCAGCACUCUUCCCUAAGCUUGUACCUCGACGGAUGCUUCUAUCUUAGUAAGUAUUCAUGAUUUUGUAUGGUGGUAAGUUUGUUGAUUAGGCAAGUUAUGUUUCUUAAUGGCUUGCGGGUUCAUUGGUUUAUUUAUAUAGAGUACCAUAGUCUUCCAUGAGUGUAGUACAAAGACUAAGGUAGUAAUUGAGAGUGUCAACAUGGUGUCUAGACUGGAGGUUACCUUUGUUUGCCUUGUGCGCCAUAGAAUGUAGAGGUAAGCAUCAUGUGGUGAUAGUCCUGUCUAUCAUUUAUAAUCCUCCACAUUCAGGUACAAUGUAGAGCCGUUCAGAGUCUCCUGGAAGACUAGGGGUAAGCUAGUGCCCGAAGUAAGCAAGCUAGCUACAAAACCUGUAAUAUUGCAAACAUUUGUAAUAUUAAUUUGAGUGUAAUUUCCAAAAGUUUAAAACUUUUUGUUUGAAUUGUGUGCUUGUUUAUAAAUGGAAGACAAAUUCUCUUCUUAUCCAAAAUUCCAUUUCAAAACUUGUGUGGAAUGAUUUGGAUCUUUUUGGAUUUUAUUUGGAUCUUAAGUUUGUGUGUGUGUUUGAAUUUUGAAUCCAAUUCAAAAUUCAAAAUAAAUAUAAAUCUAAACCUAAAUCUAAAUAAAAAUCAAAACCCACUAACUACCAGGCCGGUCGCAGCCCACCGGCCUGGCCUGCCAACACCUUCCCCCUCACCCACCUUCGGGCCAGCCGCCAAACUAGCCUAGCCCGUCAACCGUCCCUCUAUCCCUCGUCUAGCCCAGUAGGCCCACCCGCCUAACCAGCCCAGCCUGCACACCACUGCUCCCCGCUCUCCCUCUUUCUCUCUCGCUGCCACACAGGGCCCGCCAAUCAGCCCCCUAUUCAUCCUUCUUCUACCUCCGGCCGUACGUGUCAUGCGGACAGCACGUGCUCGUUGGAUGGGACGGGCUCGUUGGCCGCAUUCGCGUUGGCGCACACUCACGUGCCUGUGCGUGCGCCUCUGACCUACCCCACUCCUCCGCUUUUGCGUUGGGAUCCUCGGAUGGGUGCCACGCCACCCGCGCCGUGCCGCCACCGCAUCCUGACCAUCCACCUGCCUACGCGCACCACCCUAAACCCUAGCACCGACGCCGCGCCCUCGAAACUCUAGCCACUCCUCACUGCUAUAAAUACAACCCCCGGCGCCCCUCCUCGCCAUCCUAAGUCGCCCGGGGCUCCUCUCUAUCGCCGCCACCUGAGAGAGGAGAAGUAGAAAGGAGGAGAAGGGAGGAGGAGAAGGGAAGAGGGAAGGAAGGAGAAGGAGGAGGAGGGAAGAAGAGAAGAGAAGGGAAAAGGAGGAGGAGAAGGCCCGCGCCGAAGGGAGCCAAGCCCAAGAGGAAGCUACUCACUGCCGUCCGCCUCUUCUUACUCUCCCCGCCGUGAGCUUCGCCACCCUCUCUCCUUUCUCUUGCUACCUUGUUGCUGUGUCCGGCCUUCGAGCCGCUUGUAGGAGCCGCCGCCACUCUCCUCACCGCCAGCUACCAUGGGCCUAGGAUGCCGAGGCCCCAUGCGCUGCCGCGGCCGUGCGACCCGGUGACCGCGUGCCGCAGCCAAGGCGACCCCGUGACCGUGUGCACGCACACGCGUCGCGUCGUGCCGCACCUACCGCACCGCGCCCACGUGCGCGCGUGCUGCCCACGCUUUCCCUUGCCCGUUGCCGCGCGCUAACCCGCGCCACACCGCGAUGUCGUGGGUGCGGUCACCGCCACCUGAGCCCUACGACGCAGCGCCACGCCCCGCCACUACCGCAUGCCGCGUGGCGGCACCAUGUAGGGUAAAGCGCGCCACAUGGCUGCCACGUGGCGCUAAUGUGUCCAAGGCCUGGGCCAACUGGUGGGGCCCACUAACUGAACCGUGGGGGCCACUAACCUGUGGGGCCCAUCGGGUGACCGGUCAACGUUGACCGGGUCAAUGUUGGCAUCAUGAUGAUGUCAGCAGACACGUGGUGCACUCUCAUGCUGCCACGUGGCACGACAGGAGCUGACACGUGUCACCUUUAAUAAAUAUUUUUCAAAAUUAAUUAAAUAAUUAAAUAAAUCCUUUAAUCUUUAAAAAUUCAUAACUAAUUCAUUUUAACUCUGAAAAAUAUGAAAUCAGUUGCAUUAAAUUCGUAAAAUCGAGCCCGUGCUAUUUGUAGUGAGUUUGGUGUUAUUUGGAUCUUCUAAAUUUGGCUUUCUUGGAGUUGUUGACCAUAUGUAAUGCCAUUUAAUUUACUUUAUGUUGACCCAGAAGACCCUCAAGACCCCGACUACGCCGAGGAAGAUACAAACGACUACGGACUAGGUGUCAUGUCACUCCCAAUCAUAUAGAUCCUAUACAUGCUUAGUUGCUAGUGCUUUAUUUAUUAUGCUUGAUGAUGAUGGAUUGUAUAGCCAAUGUUUUUAGCCAUGCCUUGAUAAUUAUUUAUCCUGUUAUCCUUGUUACCUAUUUUUGUGGACUAGCUACAGACCCCAGGUAGUCCACCGCUCAUAUAUCCAUAUACAUGCUUUUGAGUUAUGGAUGGGCAUAUGCCAUGGUUUUGGUGAUGGGAAUUCCUUGAAUAAUCUCGCGUGUGUUUUGGGUGAGUGUGACUCCUUGAUAUGUUUUGGCGGGAGUGAGCCAUAGUUGGGACUGAGGAGUGCCCUAUCGAGAGAGAGCAUUCUAGACUCUCUCUAUACCCCGUACCUGUGGUGGGUACCUUGUUUGUUUCUGAGGAGUAGGUGGCGUACUUGUACGUUGCAGGUGCUUCGGCACAUACUUGUGGAGUAGAGUGCUCGCUCUCAGAUGCUUAAGGACCAAGUCAGUUUACCACCAGUCAAACCAUCUAUUUUCGUACAUACCACUCGCUUACGUUAUGGGCGGGGUUCGGUCCAAGACUAGUGGUGGAUAGUGCUCAGCCUGUAGGUGGAUUAUAGGAUCGUAUAAGGAGUUUGAGGUGUUGGCCUGCUUUGACCAGACUGCACCCCAGCAUGGGUAGGUUUCAUAGCUUCGAGGUCCUCCCUGGUAACAGCGUGCCCUGCAGCUGAGGACGGUUCCAAACUAGAGGAAACAGGAGAGAGCUACCCAGCUACUAGGGUUGUGGCUGUUAGGUGGGGUUUGGAAGAAUCGCUACCAUUCAGGAUCCAUCCGUGCGGGUACAGUUGUACAACCUCUGCGGAGUGUAUAAAGCUAUAGCUAUAGUCCAUGUCCACUGGUUAUGGAUAGUGCUAUUGACUACCGCUAAUUUUGACUAGACUUUCUUAUUCUUCUACCUCCCCUUUUUGAGAUAGGCAGGUGUUUGCCGUUGAGAUGUGAGAAGAGGGAGCUUUCACAUCGCCUAGUGUGUUGGGUGCUGGACCCUUGGGUGAAGGAUUUGGUAAUUUGUGCCGACUUCCUUGUUUGAGGUGUUGACCUUGGAGAUGAUAAUGCUUUGCUGCUUCCUUGACUGUUGCAGCAUAAACCUCUACAGACAUAUAUAGGUUUUACUAAUGCAUAUAGUAUAAUUCCUCCGUUCCUUAGCUUGCUGCUAUUGGAAGUUGACAUGGCCUACCUGUCGGGGAUAAUCCCCAGUACCUGCAAGAAAGGAAGAAGACAAACUCGUACUAGCAUUCCCUUGUAAUCCUAUUAGGACUCAUACCCUGUAAUCCUACUAGGACUCCUACCUUGUAACCGACUAGUAAUCUCGCCCCCUUAGUAUAUAAAGGAGGGCAGGGGUACCUAGAUUGGUAGCUCAGAAUUAUCAAUCAAUAAAAUCCAACCAACACACAGAACGUAAGGUAUUACAUGGCAUAAGUACACCGAACCUAUCUAAAUCGUGUAUUAGAGUUCACCUUCAAGUUCCUAGUCUUGGUGAGCCCCACGCAUGAAACACUACCUCGGGUACCCCCUUGGUAGGUUGCCGGUAUAAAACAUCGACAUCUGGUGCACCAGGUAGGGGUGAUCGUUGAGAUCAUCGGGCGAGCUUGAAGGAUCUCAUCAUCAAGAUCAAUCUAAUCAGCGUGAUGAUAUCUCCACGUCAAUCAAAGCCAAGUUGGUGGAUUCCACAUCUUCGAAUCAUGUUUCGCCUCUGCACAUCGACUUCUAGGCACUCGAUUCCAAGACAAACUCAUGUCGCCAAAUCCGACUAGAGUUCAAUGUCGCGGUGCGUGCCCCACUCAUCCACGGAGACAACAACGCUGGAUAAAGAAAUACAGUGUUUACAUGAAGAUCAAAGCAGAGGUCAAACUUGGACUCGCUGCUGCAAUUUUGAAUUGAAGAAAAUCCGACAGUUUUUGCUAUACAAAUGUCAUGUCCACACAUACGGGCUGUUGACAACAAGCAAGCAUACAUGUACAGACCAAUAAAGAAGCAAGAGCAAGGUCACGUCAAUCAUUACAGGGCCUUGUGAAUAGCAAACAUGCUAUCGUAGGAUCAUUAAUACUAUCCAUUUGCCGUGAAGAGAAAGCGGCAGACAGCACCGGCAUCGACAAAGCGCUGGCAAAAUUACUCGUCUUGACUAAAAAACUAGUCGAGGACAGUCUACUUCAACUACUCAUCUCAACUAGAAAAUUAGUCGAGGACAAUCUACUUCGACUACUCGUCUCGACUAGAAAAAACUAGUCGAGGACGGUCUACUUUGACUACUCGUCCUGACUAGAAAACUAGUCAAGGGUAGGUUCCACGUGAUCAAAAGCUAGUCAGAAUCGACUACGAUUAGUUGGCUUCAUCAACAAUCGACACGGCUUUGUCAACAAUCAUCCACGAAUCAAGCUAAGUCACUUUUUUUAAUUAUUUUAUAUAAAAUUUUCAGCUUGUUUUCUGCAUGGAGGGCAACACGCCGACUACUUAUUUGUGUACGCCUCUCAACGGGAAUUACCCUCCAGAGCUACACUUUGCCAGGGCAUGUUGACCGAUAGCUACGGGUUUGGUACACCGAAUUAUGGAGGCUAUGGCCACGGGUUUGGUGCACUGAGUUUUGGAGGCACCGCCACAGGUUUGGCACAUUGAAUUUUGAAGGCAAUAGCCAUCGAUUUGAUGCACUGAAUACUGGAGCCUCACAACAGCUACACCCUAAGAAGACACAAAUCCUAUAAGCACAACACGCACUCUAAUAGUCGAAGGGUAGAAAAGUCUUACGCACAAUCACGCAGUCUUUUUGUCGCAAUGUCGACUACUUAUUUUUGUUGUCUUCUCUUAGUGGUCACUAAUCUUUUCAAGCAGAACACGCAUAUAUUCGUGAAAGCAUCGGAUCUUCUGUCAUGCCUAAACACUAGGACGCGAGAUAAAUAUCUCCGUAGCAGUAGUGCCAGCACGCGUACACGAGACAAAGAUCUCACAUGCCGUGGCAAUGGCUCAACAGGGACUGAGAGCCUAAACGUAGUAGGAUAACUACUCGAGAGAAAUAUAGCUGAAGCAAGAGCAUGACACACAACAUUUACAUUAUAUUCAUCACUGAAUAAAUUUUAGUAGUUCCAAAUUCUACAAAUAUGCUACAUAAUGUAUGCAUUUCUUUUUUCAGGUCAAGUUUCGGUGACAACUCUCCAGGACGCUUAGCGUACCUCCAAUGGCUCCGCUAGCUCCCAGGCUCAAGGGCUAAAGUGCCAAUUAUUACUCGGAAUACCUCUAGUAGCUCCGCUAGCUUUCAAACUUAGGGGCUAAGCGCCAAUAACUACUCAACUUGGCUCCUAUGACUCACCUAGCGCAUAGGCUCGGGGGCUGGACGUCGCAAAACUACUCGGAUGAUGACUUGUGUGAAGCCUAAAGACCCUCGGAUUGAUUAAUUAAUCAUUCCAAGGCUCAGGGAUUGAUAAGCUACACCCAACAAUUGAUUUUUUUUUUCAAGAUGAAAGAAGAUUCAAGAUUUUAUUGACCCUUAGCCUGAUUCUUCGAUUCAACCUAAGACUCGGGGACUACUCCAUAUGGAGUGCGACUUCCUCCGCCCUCCAUAUCACAUUCCAAAGAUGAAGAUUACAAAAUGAAGAUGAUCAAGGGCUUGAGCACACCAUAGCCUCAUGGCAGCUUUGAGGAACUUUGAAGAUUCAGCCAGCCAAAGUACUCGAAGAGCACCAAAACUACUUGGCAAGAAUCUGAAAAGUACUCAAGGCUGCUGCAUUCUACUAUGAAGUGCUCGGAGGCUUGUCGGGAAUAGAUCCUCAGUACCCGCAAGGUAGAAGACGGACUCCUACUAAGAUUCCCCUGUAAUCCUACUAGGACUCAUACCCUGUAAUCCUACUAGGACUCCUACCUUGUAAUUGACUAGUAAUCCCGCCCCUUGAGUAUAUAAAGGAGGGCAGGGAUACCUAGAUCGGUAGCUCAGAACCAUCAUCAACAGCCAACAACCAGGCUACACAACACCCAAGCGCAGGGCACAAUAUACAACACCCCAAAUAUGACGUAGGGUAUUACGCUACUCUGGCAGCCCAAACCUAUAUAAAUUCGUAUCUUGUGUCCUCGCUUUUACCUUCAAGUUUCAGGUCCGAUGAUUCCCCAACAAGUAAUCUACUACCUCGGGAUACCCCUUGGUAGGUUGCCGGGUAUAAAACACCGACACUACCCGCUUCUUGGGUAGUCCAGCCCGACUAUGACUUCGACAACGAUGGAUGGGAAGACUAGGGAUGGCCCUUUGCUCGACUCACCUCUGGAGAUGGAGUUUGCCAUAGCUUGUGUUUCUGUUGCGUAGAUGUUUUACCUUUCUUGAUUCAGUCCUGAUGGACUUGUACUGGCAUGUGCCGAAGAGAUGUACUCGAUACUUAUGAUACUUAUGAUAUUUCUACUAUGUUGUUGCUUUAUAUUUCAGUGUUGGUAUGGAUUUGUACUAUCUGAGAUAGGGAUUCGCACAUGAUAGCCUUCCUAGGACUAUCACUGAGGUGCGUAGGCUUGAAUUCCCAGAAAUGGGAAUUCGGGUCCAUUUCAAAACCUAUCUUAUCUAAGAACUUCUACCCAUAGGAAUCCUCUCUACCCUCGCCUACCUUUCUCUUGUUGUCCUUGGAUGAACUAGUGUUGAAGUUAGUACACACACAAUCCCUCCAAAUUCAAUGCCUUGAUUACUUCCAGGUGAAGUCUACAUCAGUUUCCGUACAUUUGCGGAUUUAUUCAUAAAUGUUAUUUAUACAAAAUCUUUCAGGUGCCAUUGCCAGGGAAUCGUUGCUGUAUCAUCUUUGAACCUAGUUCAUCCUCGUAUCUUUGUUUUACUUUUUUUUCUUUCUUAUUCCACUUCUACCAUGGAGCAACCUUCUAUUCAAAUGCUAUUAGCUCCAAAGGGCAAGUUCUAUGAGCCACCACCUUUACCAAACCUAUUUCUCACAGUCGGCUAUGAACUCUACCCCUGCUUUGUAGCCACUGUUCGGGAAUAAUCCUUCUUAGGACUAUACAAUGAAAACUCUUACCAUCAUCUAUGAGAGUUCAAGCAACUGUGUUUGUGCCUAGUGAUCCCAGGCAUGAUAGAGGAAACCUUAAGGUGGAAAUUGUUUCCAUUCUCUCUUACAGAGAUGGAAAAGUAAUGGUACAUUCAUACCGUUGCAGUGUGAAUGGUGAUUGGGAGGAACUUUGAGAUAGAUUUUAUCUCUCGUUCUUCCCUCUGCCCCAUAUAGUCUCCCUACGUGGGGAAAUUCUUGACUUCCACUAGUAUGAGAAGGAAUCCAUAUGUGCAGCCUGUGCCAAGUUCUCAACAUUAAUAUAAUCCGGCCCAAACUUGUCAAUACUCGACCAUGUGUUGCUACAACGCUUUUGUUUGGGCCUUAGCAAGGAGCUUAUCCUAUACCUCGACAUUAUCAUAAGAGGAUCAUUCGCUCACAAGACCAUGAUGGAAGGAAGAGAAAUCCUAGAGCGUAUGUUAGAAAACACUUCCUUUCUCGCUGAUCAUAAUGAACCCCUCCCGGAUGAAGCCAAGUCAAGCCAUGAGGACCCCUCAAUAGCCAAACCCGAGCUUUUGCCUCCUACAUCCCAAGUCUGGGGAAGUGCCAGGUCUGUCGACACUCUUCCCAAGCUUGUAGCUUGGCAGAUGCUUAAGUUUUGUUUCUUAAUUGCUUGUGGGUUCAUCACCCUAAUUAUAUAGAGUACCUAAGUCUUCCAUGAGUGUAGUACUGAGACUAAGGUCGUAAUUGAUAUUGUGUAGACAUGGUGUCUAGGCAGUAGGGAUUAUCUUUGUUUGCCUUGUGCCACAUGGAAUGCAAAGGUAGGUGGCAGGUGGUGAUAGAACUGUCCGUCCUUCAUAAUCCUCCACGUUCGGGUACAGUGUAGAGCCGUUGGCUGGACUCUCCUGGCAGACCAAGGGUAAGCCAGUGCCCAAAGUAAGCAAUCUAGCUACAGAACCUAUCUUAUCUAAGAACCUCUACCAUAGGAUCCUCUCUACCCUCGCCUACCUUUCUCUUGUUGUCCUUGGAUGAACUAGUGUUGAAGUUAGUACUCACACGAUCCUUGCGGAUUCGAUGCUUUGAUUACUUCCAGGUGAAGUCUACAGCGGUAUUCGUACAUCUGUGGAUUUAUUCAUGAACAUUAUUUAUUCUAACAGAUUCUAAACUAACACAAUCCAACGGCAAUUUUCCUCACUAUCCUUUACUCGCUUUGGUUGCAUGACCCUUUCGAAUGAAUUUGAAUGCAACUUGUUGGGGAUCUGGAUCAAGGAUUCUACCCUCGCACGAUGUAAUGAACAAAGCUUACCUUCGCCCAUAGCUAACACCUUCACUACCCGGUUACCUUCGUCG
RNAcentral lists this long non-coding RNA (24413 nucleotides) under Setaria viridis. RNAcentral's name for it is "long non-coding RNA (SVIR_LNC004217)". The record is from RNAcentral. Lineage: Eukaryota; Viridiplantae; Streptophyta; Magnoliopsida; Poales; Poaceae.